UACGAAGGGGGCUAGCGUUGCUCGGAAUUACUGGGCGUAAAGCGCACGUAGGCGGCUCUGUAAGUCGGGGGUGAAAUCCUGGAGCUCAACUCCAGAACUGCCUUCGAUACUGGAGAGCUCGAGUCCGGGAGAGGUGAGUGGAACUGCGAGUGUAGAGGUGAAAUUCGUAGAUAUUCGCAAGAACACCAGUGGCGAAGGCGGCUCACUGGCCCGGUACUGACGCUGAGGUGCGAAAGCGUGGGGAGCAAACAGG
RNAcentral lists this ribosomal RNA (253 nucleotides) under uncultured bacterium. Its description in RNAcentral is "partial 16S ribosomal RNA". It matches the Rfam family "Bacterial small subunit ribosomal RNA", at positions 524 to 776 of the family's 1533-position model. The record is from RNAcentral.